Molecule: ribosomal RNA, 251 nt
Filed under: uncultured bacterium
Lineage: Bacteria
Description: partial 16S ribosomal RNA
Rfam family: Bacterial small subunit ribosomal RNA
Source: RNAcentral
UACGUAGGGUGCGAGCGUUAAUCGGAAUUACUGGGCGUAAAGCGUGCGCAGGCGGUUUUGUAAGCCAGAUGUGAAAUCCCCGGGCUCAACCUGGGAAUGGCAUUUGGGACUGCAAGGCUGGAGUGCGGCAGAGAAGACUGGAAUCCUGGUGAGCAGUGAAAUGCGUAGAUAUCAGGAGGAAUACCGAUGGCGAAGGCAGGUCUCUGGGCUGACACUGACGCUCAUGCACGAAAGCGUGGGGAGCAAACAGG